RNAcentral lists this transfer RNA (87 nucleotides) under Klebsiella pneumoniae. RNAcentral's name for it is "tRNA-Leu". It matches the Rfam family "tRNA". Rfam says of the family: Transfer RNA (tRNA) molecules are approximately 80 nucleotides in length. Their secondary structure includes four short double-helical elements and three loops (D, anti-codon, and T loops). Further hydrogen bonds mediate the characteristic L-shaped molecular structure. tRNAs have two regions of fundamental functional importance: the anti-codon, which is responsible for specific mRNA codon recognition, and the 3' end, to which the tRNAs corresponding amino acid is attached (by aminoacyl-tRNA synthetases). tRNAs cope with the degeneracy of the genetic code in two manners: having more than one tRNA (with a specific anti-codon) for a particular amino acid; and 'wobble' base-pairing, i.e. permitting non-standard base-pairing at the 3rd anti-codon position. The record is from RNAcentral. Lineage: Bacteria; Pseudomonadati; Pseudomonadota; Gammaproteobacteria; Enterobacterales; Enterobacteriaceae.
GCGAAGGUGUCGGAAUUGGUAGACGCGCUAGCUUCAGGUGUUAGUGUUCUUACGGACGUGGGGGUUCAAGUCCCCCCCCUCGCACCA